UUUUUAGUGUAAGUAUGUCCUGUGUAAUAUUUGAGACAUACUUGUACUAAAA
This 52-nucleotide microRNA precursor is filed under the name Callithrix jacchus (white-tufted-ear marmoset). Its description in RNAcentral is "mir-1302 microRNA precursor family". It matches the Rfam family "mir-1302 microRNA precursor family". Lineage: Eukaryota; Metazoa; Chordata; Mammalia; Primates; Cebidae. The record is from Rfam by way of RNAcentral.